GAUGAACGCUGGCGGCGUGCCUAAUACAUGCAAGUAGAACGCUGAAGGAGGAGCUUGCUCUUCUGGAUGAGUUGCGAACGGGUGAGUAACGCGUAGGUAACCUGCCUGGUAGCGGGGGAUAACUAUUGGAAACGAUAGCUAAUACCGCAUGACAACAGUUAUUGCAUGAUAACUGUUUAAAAGGGGCAACUGCUCCACUACCAGAUGGACCUGCGUUGUAUUAGCUAGUUGGUGAGGUAACGGCUCACCAAGGCGACGAUACAUAGCCGACCUGAGAGGGUGAUCGGCCACACUGGGACUGAGACACGGCCCAGACUCCUACGGGAGGCAGCAGUAGGGAAUCUUCGGCAAUGGACGGAAGGCUGACCGAGCAACGCCGCGUGAGUGAAGAAGGUUUUCGGAUCGUAAAGCUCUGUUGUAAGAGAAGAACGAGUGUGAGAGUGGAAAGUUCACACUGUGACGGUAUCUGACCAGAAAGGGACGGCUAACUACGUG
This 495-nucleotide ribosomal RNA is filed under the name uncultured bacterium. RNAcentral describes it as "partial 16S ribosomal RNA". It matches the Rfam family "Bacterial small subunit ribosomal RNA", at positions 28 to 507 of the family's 1533-position model. The record is from RNAcentral.